RNAcentral lists this transfer RNA (90 nucleotides) under Patulibacter minatonensis. RNAcentral describes it as "tRNA-Ser". It matches the Rfam family "tRNA". Rfam says of the family: Transfer RNA (tRNA) molecules are approximately 80 nucleotides in length. Their secondary structure includes four short double-helical elements and three loops (D, anti-codon, and T loops). Further hydrogen bonds mediate the characteristic L-shaped molecular structure. tRNAs have two regions of fundamental functional importance: the anti-codon, which is responsible for specific mRNA codon recognition, and the 3' end, to which the tRNAs corresponding amino acid is attached (by aminoacyl-tRNA synthetases). tRNAs cope with the degeneracy of the genetic code in two manners: having more than one tRNA (with a specific anti-codon) for a particular amino acid; and 'wobble' base-pairing, i.e. permitting non-standard base-pairing at the 3rd anti-codon position. Lineage: Bacteria; Bacillati; Actinomycetota; Thermoleophilia; Solirubrobacterales; Patulibacteraceae. The record is from RNAcentral. RNAcentral also lists the same sequence under 1 other name.
GGAGAGGUGGCCGAGUGGCUGAAGGCGCCCGCCUGCUAAGUGGGUAUUGGGUUCAUAGCCCAAUCGGGGGUUCGAAUCCCCUCCUCUCCU